Molecule: ribosomal RNA, 1343 nt
Filed under: uncultured bacterium
Lineage: Bacteria
Description: 16S ribosomal RNA
Rfam family: Bacterial small subunit ribosomal RNA
Source: RNAcentral
GACGAACGCUGGCGGCGUGCUUAACACAUGCAAGUCGAACGGAAAGGCCCUGCUUUUGUGGGGUGCUCGAGUGGCGAACGGGUGAGUAACACGUGAGUAACCUGCCCUUGACUUUGGGAUAACUUCAGGAAACUGGGGCUAAUACCGGAUAGGAGCUCCUGCUGCAUGGUGGGGGUUGGAAAGUUUCGGCGGUUGGGGAUGGACUCGCGGCUUAUCAGCUUGUUGGUGGGGUAGUGGCUUACCAAGGCUUUGACGGGUAGCCGGCCUGAGAGGGUGACCGGCCACAUUGGGACUGAGAUACGGCCCAGACUCCUACGGGAGGCAGCAGUGGGGAAUAUUGCACAAUGGGCGGAAGCCUGAUGCAGCAACGCCGCGUGCGGGAUGACGGCCUUCGGGUUGUAAACCGCUUUCGCCUGUGACGAAGCGUGAGUGACGGUAAUGGGUAAAGAAGCACCGGCUAACUACGUGCCAGCAGCCGCGGUGAUACGUAGGGUGCGAGCGUUGUCCGGAUUUAUUGGGCGUAAGGGGCUCGUAGGUGGUUGAUCGCGUCGGAAGUGUAAUCUUGGGGCUUAACCCUGAGCGUGCUUUCGAUACGGGUUGACUUGAGGAAGGUAGGGGAGAAUGGAAUUCCUGGUGGAGCGGUGGAAUGCGCAGAUAUCAGGAGGAACACCAGUGGCGAAGGCGGUUCUCUGGGCCUUUCCUGACGCUGAGGAGCGAAAGCGUGGGGAGCGAACAGGCUUAGAUACCCUGGUAGUCCACGCUGUAAACGGUGGGUACUAGGUGUGGGGUCCAUUCCACGGGUUCCGUGCCGUAGCUAACGCUUUAAGUACCCCGCCUGGGGAGUACGGCCGCAAGGCUAAAACUCAAAGGAAUUGACGGGGCCCCGCACAAGCGGCGGAGCAUGCGGAUUAAUUCGAUGCAACGCGUAGAACCUUACCUGGGUUUGACAUGGAUCGGGAGUGCUCAGAGAUGGGUGUGCCUCUUUUGGGGUCGGUUCACAGGUGGUGCAUGCCUGUCGUCAGCUCGUGUCGUGAGAUGUUGGGUUAAGUCCCGCAACGAGCGCAACCCUUGUUCACUGUUGCCAGCACGUUAUGGUGGGGACUCAGUGGAGACCGCCGGGGUCAACUCGGAGGAAGGUGGGGAUGACGUCAAGUCAUCAUGCCCCUUAUGUCCAGGGCUUCACGCAUGCUACAAUGGCUGGUACAGAGAGUGGCGAGCCUGUGAGGGUGAGCGAAUCUCGGAAAGCCGGUCUCAGUUCGGAUUGGGGUCUGCAACUCGACCUCAUGAAGUCGGAGUCGCUAGUAAUCGCAGAUCAGCAACGCUGCGGUGAAUACGUUCCCGGG